RNAcentral lists this ribosomal RNA (484 nucleotides) under uncultured bacterium. RNAcentral's name for it is "partial 16S ribosomal RNA". It matches the Rfam family "Bacterial small subunit ribosomal RNA", at positions 30 to 507 of the family's 1533-position model. The record is from RNAcentral.
AUUGAACGCUGGCGGCAGGCCUAACACAUGCAAGUCGAGCGGAUGAAGGGAGCUUGCUCCUGGAUUCAGCGGCGGACGGGUGAGUAAUGCCUAGGAAUCUGCCUGGUAGUGGGGGAUAACGUCCGGAAACGGGCGCUAAUACCGCAUACGACCUGAGGGAGAAAGUGGGGGAUCUUCGGACCUCACGCUAUCAGAUGAGCCUAGGUCGGAUUAGCUAGUUGGUGGGGUAAAGGCCUACCAAGGCGACGAUCCGUAACUGGUCUGAGAGGAUGAUCAGUCACACUGGAACUGAGACACGGUCCAGACUCCUACGGGAGGCAGCAGUGGGGAAUAUUGGACAAUGGGCGAAAGCCUGAUCCAGCCAUGCCGCGUGUGUGAAGAAGGUCUUAGGAUUGUAAAGCACUUUAAGUUGGGAGGAAGGGCAGUAAGUUAAUACCUUGCUGUUUUGACGUUACCAACAGAAUAAGCACCGGCUAACUUCGUG